RNAcentral lists this ribosomal RNA (1968 nucleotides) under human gut metagenome. RNAcentral's name for it is "bacterial LSU rRNA". It matches the Rfam family "Bacterial large subunit ribosomal RNA", at positions 1 to 1996 of the family's 2925-position model. The record is from RNAcentral.
UUAAGCGACUAAGCGUACACGGUGGAUGCCCUGGCAGUCAGAGGCGAUGAAGGACGUGCUAAUCUGCGAUAAGCGUCGGUAAGGUGAUAUGAACCGUUAUAACCGGCGAUUUCCGAAUGGGGAAACCCAGUGUGUUUCGACACACUAUCAUUAACUGAAUCCAUAGGUUAAUGAGGCGAACCGGGGGAACUGAAACAUCUAAGUACCCCGAGGAAAAGAAAUCAACCGAGAUUCCCCCAGUAGCGGCGAGCGAACGGGGAGCAGCCCAGAGCCUGAAUCAGUGUGUGUGUUAGUGGAAGCGUCUGGAAAGGCGCGCGAUACAGGGUGACAGCCCCGUACACAAAAAUGCACAUGCUGUGAGCUCGAUGAGUAGGGCGGGACACGUGGUAUCCUGUCUGAAUAUGGGGGGACCAUCCUCCAAGGCUAAAUACUCCUGACUGACCGAUAGUGAACCAGUACCGUGAGGGAAAGGCGAAAAGAACCCCGGCGAGGGGAGUGAAAAAGAACCUGAAACCGUGUACGUACAAGCAGUGGGAGCACGCUUAGGCGUGUGACUGCGUACCUUUUGUAUAAUGGGUCAGCGACUUAUAUUCUGUAGCAAGGUUAACCGAAUAGGGGAGCCGAAGGGAAACCGAGUCUUAACUGGGCGUUAAGUUGCAGGGUAUAGACCCGAAACCCGGUGAUCUAGCCAUGGGCAGGUUGAAGGUUGGGUAACACUAACUGGAGGACCGAACCGACUAAUGUUGAAAAAUUAGCGGAUGACUUGUGGCUGGGGGUGAAAGGCCAAUCAAACCGGGAGAUAGCUGGUUCUCCCCGAAAGCUAUUUAGGUAGCGCCUCGUGAAUUCAUCUCCGGGGGUAGAGCACUGUUUCGGCAAGGGGGUCAUCCCGACUUACCAACCCGAUGCAAACUGCGAAUACCGGAGAAUGUUAUCACGGGAGACACACGGCGGGUGCUAACGUCCGUCGUGAAGAGGGAAACAACCCAGACCGCCAGCUAAGGUCCCAAAGUCAUGGUUAAGUGGGAAACGAUGUGGGAAGGCCCAGACAGCCAGGAUGUUGGCUUAGAAGCAGCCAUCAUUUAAAGAAAGCGUAAUAGCUCACUGGUCGAGUCGGCCUGCGCGGAAGAUGUAACGGGGCUAAACCAUGCACCGAAGCUGCGGCAGCGACGCUUAUGCGUUGUUGGGUAGGGGAGCGUUCUGUAAGCCUGCGAAGGUGUGCUGUGAGGCAUGCUGGAGGUAUCAGAAGUGCGAAUGCUGACAUAAGUAACGAUAAAGCGGGUGAAAAGCCCGCUCGCCGGAAGACCAAGGGUUCCUGUCCAACGUUAAUCGGGGCAGGGUGAGUCGACCCCUAAGGCGAGGCCGAAAGGCGUAGUCGAUGGGAAACAGGUUAAUAUUCCUGUACUUGGUGUUACUGCGAAGGGGGGACGGAGAAGGCUAUGUUGGCCGGGCGACGGUUGUCCCGGUUUAAGCGUGUAGGCUGGUUUUCCAGGCAAAUCCGGAAAAUCAAGGCUGAGGCGUGAUGACGAGGCACUACGGUGCUGAAGCAACAAAUGCCCUGCUUCCAGGAAAAGCCUCUAAGCAUCAGGUAACAUCAAAUCGUACCCCAAACCGACACAGGUGGUCAGGUAGAGAAUACCAAGGCGCUUGAGAGAACUCGGGUGAAGGAACUAGGCAAAAUGGUGCCGUAACUUCGGGAGAAGGCACGCUGAUAUGUAGGUGAGGUCCCUCGCGGAUGGAGCUGAAAUCAGUCGAAGAUACCAGCUGGCUGCAACUGUUUAUUAAAAACACAGCACUGUGCAAACACGAAAGUGGACGUAUACGGUGUGACGCCUGCCCGGUGCCGGAAGGUUAAUUGAUGGGGUUAGCGCAAGCGAAGCUCUUGAUCGAAGCCCCGGUAAACGGCGGCCGUAACUAUAACGGUCCUAAGGUAGCGAAAUUCCUUGUCGGGUAAGUUCCGACCUGCACGAA